CGUAGGGUGCGAGCGUUAAUCGGAAUUACUGGGCGUAAAGCGUGCGCAGGCGGUUUUGUAAGACAGAUGUGAAAUCCCCGGGCUCAACCUGGGACCUGCAUUUGUGACUGCAAAGCUAGAGUACGGUAGAGGGGGAUGGAAUUCCGCGUGAAGCAGUGAAAUGCGUAGAUAUGCGGAGGAACACCGAUGGCGAAGGCAAUCCCCUGGACCUGUACUGACGCUCAUGCACGAAAGCGUGGGGAGCAAACAGGAUUAGAUACCCUGGUAGUCCACGCCCUAAACGAUGUCAACUGGUUGUUGGGUCUUUACUGACUCAGUAACGAAGCUAACGCGUGAAGUUGACCGCCUGGGGAGUACGGCCGCAAGGUUG
RNAcentral lists this ribosomal RNA (370 nucleotides) under uncultured organism. RNAcentral's name for it is "bacterial SSU rRNA". It matches the Rfam family "Bacterial small subunit ribosomal RNA", at positions 526 to 896 of the family's 1533-position model. The record is from RNAcentral.